Molecule: long non-coding RNA, 163 nt
Organism: Eucalyptus grandis
Lineage: Eukaryota; Viridiplantae; Streptophyta; Magnoliopsida; Myrtales; Myrtaceae
Exons: 3
Source: RefSeq, a predicted model, not a curated record
GUGACUUGUCUCCCAGAUAAAGCAGGCCGAAGGCUGCUUCUCAUAGUAUCCUCAUCCGCAAUGACUUUGACCCUUCUUUUUGUGGCCGUGGCGUUCUAUAUAGAGAGUUCUGCUUCAGAAGACUCUCAAUUAUACAGCAUAAUGGGAAUAUUGUCGGCUGUCA